RNAcentral lists this non-coding RNA (27 nucleotides) under Mus musculus (house mouse). RNAcentral also lists the same sequence under 1 other name. The record is from RNAcentral. Lineage: Eukaryota; Metazoa; Chordata; Mammalia; Rodentia; Muridae.
GUGGUGGUGGUGGUGGUGGUGGUGAUG